RNAcentral lists this transfer RNA (72 nucleotides) under Camelus dromedarius (Arabian camel). It matches the Rfam family "tRNA". Rfam says of the family: Transfer RNA (tRNA) molecules are approximately 80 nucleotides in length. Their secondary structure includes four short double-helical elements and three loops (D, anti-codon, and T loops). RNAcentral also lists the same sequence under 1 other name. The record is from Rfam by way of RNAcentral. Lineage: Eukaryota; Metazoa; Chordata; Mammalia; Artiodactyla; Camelidae.
GAGGGUAUAGCUCAGUGGCAGAGAGCAUGACCAGCAUGCAUGAGGUCAUGGGUUCAAUCCCUGGUACCUUCA